CCUGCUUCCAGGAAAAGCCUCUAAGCAUCAGGUAACAUCAAAUCGUACCCCAAACCGACACAGGUGGUCAGGUAGAGAAUACCAAGGCGCUUGAGAGAACUCGGGUGAAGGAACUAGGCAAAAUGGUGCCGUAACUUCGGGAGAAGGCACGCUGAUAUGUAGGUGAAGUCCCUCGCGGAUGGAGCUGAAAUCAGUCGAAGAUACCAGCUGGCUGCAACUGUUUAUUAAAAACACAGCACUGUGCAAACACGAAAGUGGACGUAUACGGUGUGACGCCUGCCCGGUGCCGGAAGGUUAAUUGAUGGGGUUAGCGCAAGCGAAGCUCUUGAUCGAAGCCCCGGUAAACGGCGGCCGUAACUAUAACGGUCCUAAGGUAGCGAAAUUCCUUGUCGGGUAAGUUCCGACCUGCACGAAUGGCGUAAUGAUGGCCAGGCUGUCUCCACCCGAGACUCAGUGAAAUUGAACUCGCUGUGAAGAUGCAGUGUACCCGCGGCAAGACGGAAAGACCCCGUGAACCUUUACUAUAGCUUGACACUGAACAUUGAGCCUUGAUGUGUAGGAUAGGUGGGAGGCUUUGAAGUGUGGACGCCAGUCUGCAUGGAGCCGACCUUGAAAUACCACCCUUUAAUGUUUGAUGUUCUAACGUUGACCCGUAAUCCGGGUUGCGGACAGUGUCUGGUGGGUAGUUUGACUGGGGCGGUCUCCUCCUAAAGAGUAACGGAGGAGCACGAAGGUUGGCUAAUCCUGGUCGGACAUCAGGAGGUUAGUGCAAUGGCAUAAGCCAGCUUGACUGCGAGCGUGACGGCGCGAGCAGGUGCGAAAGCAGGUCAUAGUGAUCCGGUGGUUCUGAAUGGAAGGGCCAUCGCUCAACGGAUAAAAGGUACUCCGGGGAUAACAGGCUGAUACCGCCCAAGAGUUCAUAUCGACGGCGGUGUUUGGCACCUCGAUGUCGGCUCAUCACAUCCUGGGGCUGAAGUAGGUCCCAAGGGUAUGGCUGUUCGCCAUUUAAAGUGGUACGCGAGCUGGGUUUAGAACGUCGUGAGACAGUUCGGUCCCUAUCUGCCGUGGGCGCUGGAGAACUGAGGGGGGCUGCUCCUAGUACGAGAGGACCGGAGUGGACGCAUCACUGGUGUUCGGGUUGUCAUGCCAAUGGCACUGCCCGGUAGCUAAAUGCGGAAGAGAUAAGUGCUGAAAGCAUCUAAGCACGAAACUUGCCCCGAGAUGAGUUCUCCCUGACUCCUUGAGAGUCCUGAAGGAACGUUGAAGACGACGACGUUGAUAGGCCGGGUGUGUAAGCGCAGCGAUGCGUUGAGCUAACCGGUACUAAUGAACCGUGAGGCUUAACCUUAC
This 1350-nucleotide ribosomal RNA is filed under the name Escherichia coli. RNAcentral describes it as "partial 23S ribosomal RNA". It matches the Rfam family "Bacterial large subunit ribosomal RNA", at positions 1601 to 2925 of the family's 2925-position model. Lineage: Bacteria; Pseudomonadati; Pseudomonadota; Gammaproteobacteria; Enterobacterales; Enterobacteriaceae. The record is from RNAcentral.